RNAcentral lists this ribosomal RNA (433 nucleotides) under uncultured bacterium. RNAcentral describes it as "partial 16S ribosomal RNA". It matches the Rfam family "Bacterial small subunit ribosomal RNA", at positions 29 to 507 of the family's 1533-position model. The record is from RNAcentral.
AACGAACGCUGGCGGCAUGCCUAACACAUGCAAGUCGAACGAGACCUUCGGGUCUAGUGGCGCACGGGUGCGUAACGCGUGGGAACCUGCCCUUAGGUUCGGAAUAACUCCCCGAAAGGGGUGCUAAUACCGGAUAAUGUCUUCGGACCAAAGAUUGAUCGCCUUUGGAUGGGCCCGCGUUGGAUUAGCUAGUUGGUAGGGUAAAAGCCUACCAAGGCGACGAUACAUAGCUGGUCUGAGAGGAUGAUCAGCCACACUGGGACUGAGACACGGCCCAGACUCCUACGGGAGGCAGCAGUGGGGAAUAUUGGACAAUGGGCGAAAGCCUGAUCCAGCAAUGCCGCGUGAGUGAUGAAGGCCUUAGGGUUGUAAAGCUCUUUUACCCGGGAUGAUAAUGACAGUACCGGGAGAAUAAGCUCCGGCUAACUCCGUG